Acinonyx jubatus (cheetah) is the source of this 891-nucleotide long non-coding RNA. RefSeq lists it as uncharacterized. The record is from RefSeq and is a predicted model, not a curated record. NCBI's taxonomy places the organism in Eukaryota, Metazoa, Chordata, Mammalia, Carnivora, Felidae. The transcript has 3 exons.
CUUUCCCAAUUUCCUAAUUAUCAUUUGGUUCUUACUCAUAGGAAUAUUCAAAAUCAAGUUGUAAUUACAAAUUUGUAGCUUUAUUAUCUUUAUGUAUUAAAUAUCUACUCCAUGUUAUUAUAGUUUUGGGGUUACUGGUUUUCAUUACUCUAUAUUUGUCCAUUGAAUUAAUGCACUAUACUUCACUGCCCCCAAUACUAAGCAUGUGUAUUAAUCCAAGUACUUCCCUAUUUUAAAUAACAUUCUACAAGCAUCUCAGUUGUUUCGGUAUUUCUUUUUUCCUUUAGGCAAAUUUCCAUGAGUGGGAUUGCUGUGCCAAAGGGCAAGAUGAACAUUUUAAAAUCUGUAAACAUCCUAAAUUAUUUGAAACUCUUGCUGGGAAGGAAUUUUCUCAGACAUGGACUUCAUUUCCUCCUGGUGGGAUCAUACUAGUUCUUGCCAAUGGAAGAUGUGAGUCAUUCUCCAGUACAGGGGGUGAAAAAAUUGUUCAUCUGGAAAACUUCCUUCAGGAUAUUCUCCAAAACUGUAAACUCCAUAAGGACAGGACUUUCUGCUUUUUUCACUGCUAUAUUCGCAGGCUUGGAACAGCGCUUGACAUGGUAGUUUAAUGACUAUUUGAUGAAUGGAUUCACCACAGCAGUGACCUGCUUCAGGAUGUCUCCCCUAAUACUCCCAAGGUCUGACCUCUGUGCCACUCCUAUGCAUUCAAAAACAUUCUGGGCUACUACUAUUAUAUAUUCUAUUAUAUAUUCGACUAAAUGUCCACAAUGUUAAUUUGUCAGUCUACCCACUAGACUCUAAACUCUUUGUGAGCAGGAAAUGAAUCUCCUUUAUUUGUAUCUCCAGGGCCAAGCACUGACACAAAAUAAAUGAUAAAUAAAUGGCUUUUUG